This 406-nucleotide ribosomal RNA is filed under the name uncultured bacterium. RNAcentral's name for it is "partial 16S ribosomal RNA". It matches the Rfam family "Bacterial small subunit ribosomal RNA", at positions 29 to 526 of the family's 1533-position model. The record is from RNAcentral.
AUUGAACGCUGGCGGCAGGCUUAACACAUGCAAGUCGAACGAGUGGCGGACGGGUGAGUAAGGCAUGGGAAUGUGGAUGAUGGAGGGGGAUAACGACGGGAAACUGUAGCUAAUACCGCGUGGCCUAGGAUGAGCCCAAGUGGGAUUAGGUAGUGGGUGGGGUAAAGGCCUACCAAGCCGACGAUUUCUAGCUGGUCUGAGAGGAUGACCAGUCACACCGGGACUGAGACACGGCCCGGACUCCUACGGGAGGCAGCAGUGGGGAAUAUUGGGCAAUGGGCGCAACCCUGACCCAGCCAUGCCGCGUGAAUGAAGAAGGUCUUCGGGUUGUAAAGUACUUUAGGUGACGAGGCGUUAACCACAGAAGAAGCACCGGCUAACUCCGUGCCAGCCGCCGCGGUAAUUC